Molecule: long non-coding RNA, 361 nt
Filed under: Ricinus communis (castor bean)
Lineage: Eukaryota; Viridiplantae; Streptophyta; Magnoliopsida; Malpighiales; Euphorbiaceae
Description: long non-coding RNA (RCOM_LNC001743)
Source: RNAcentral
AUUCUCUUGAAACUUAGAGCAACAGAACUUUGGAUGUCAUCAAGAUUGUUAGGCACAUUAUCCUGCAUGUCUGACUCUUCAGGUUUAUCAAAAAUUGGACUCAUCUGAAAUGGCAAGGUAAGUGGGUUGUUUUUGCUGUGCUACGCCGUCUACUAGAUGUUCGUCUAUUGGAUGUUCACAUUCACCUUGUUGGUCUUCAGCAACUUGUUUGGCAUCUUGUUCAGUAAAUAUUUCAUUUUUAUGCAGUUUUCUAUCGAGAGCCUGUGAGCCAGGUUCUUCAACAUUGUAUUCUUCUCCCUCUGCAAAAAGCAAAUGCAGCUCCACGUCUUCGCCUCCUAUCAUUUCAGGAAUAGCAGAUUAU